UUCAGGUGAAGAGUUAUUGGUUGAAUUCUGAUGGUUCCGACGUGGUUCUCCACAUGAUAGAUAACUUCCAGCUCUAGUUAUCUGCAGUUGGUGAUUCAAUGAUGGAGCACUACCGUUCGAGGAUUUGGAUCAAGUAUCUUGGAAAUCAGUUUCUUCUGGCUUUCUGUAAACCACUCCGGAAAUGUGUAUUGUGCUCUCAAUAUCUUUGCAGGACAAAUUUAUUAGAUAUAUCACAAUUUUGUGAUUCUGUGAAACUUGGAUAUUAUGUAAUUUAGAUUGGAGGAAUACCUUCUUAUACAAGUUCAUCAGGUUACGAUCAUCAAAUGGAAGAUAACCAGCGAGUAAUUCAAAAAGUAUUACUCCGCAGGACCAAACAUCGGCAGCCGCUCCCUCAUAGCCCUUAUUCAUAAGCAGCUGUUCACCAAAUCAUGAAGCAUUAACAAUGGAAUUGAAGGGACUUAGAGUAAGAACGUCGUUGUUAAAGAAAUAUUUUUGAGGUUAAACAACACUAUGACGGAGAAGAAAGUAUUGUAUUUACAAAAAAAAAAGGCACCAAUCAUGUCAAAGUACAAAUAAUUCCAUUCUUGUCAGCAGAGGCAAGAGGUUUUCCAAUGCCACUCCACGAACAACAUAGAACAAAAGCAGUGGUGAAAUGGCGACAGCUGCAACAAUGGUGGCUAGAGUUAGGGUUUGGAUGUUGUAUAUUCAACUAAGGUGUGUAUUGAUAUUUUUUUGUGGUCAUUUUGGUCAUUUUAGGUAAGGUCAUUAUUAUAAUAAAAAAUAACCAAUUAAUGGUGUGUCUUGAGACAAAAUGUGGUGUGUAAAUAGAGGCACUCGUACCAAUGAGACAACAAAAAUGUCUCACAUGAUUCAAAUGACAAGUUUCAUUAUAUUUGUCAAUGAUAGACAAGUGGAAGGUUCAGAUUGUAACUUUACUUAAAGUGUAAAUAGUUUACUGUUACAAUUGAAAGUGAAGGGAUUAAAGUGAGAUUUUGAUAAAAGAGUAGAAAUACUAAGUGUAAUUUACCCUAGAUAUUAUUCGAUAAGAGGUAUUAACUUUCAUUAGUAAUUUCCUUACAACAUAUAGACCAUAAAUAGUACAUAUUUUUUCAAGAAAAUUUGUUAUUCUAAAAAAAUAUAUAUCUGCACAUUUUAUUUUUAUGCUAAAAAAGUAAUUUACUUUUAGUAAUCAUCGACUUCAUGUUAAGUGAUAUUUU
This is a non-coding RNA of Camellia sinensis, 1217 nucleotides long. Lineage: Eukaryota; Viridiplantae; Streptophyta; Magnoliopsida; Ericales; Theaceae. The record is from RefSeq and is a predicted model, not a curated record.